AAGUCAGAUGUGAAAGCCUUCUGUUCAACGGAAGAAUUGCAUCUGAAACUGCAGAUCUUGAGUAUAGGAGGGGAGAAUGGAACUUCUGGUGGAGCGGUGAAAUGCGUAGAUAUCAGAAGGAACGCCGGCGGCGAAAGCGAUUCUCUGGCCUAUUACUGACACUCAGUGUGCGAAAGCUAGGGGAGCAAACGGGAUUAGAUACCCCGGUAGUCCUAGCCGUAAACGAUGGGCACUAAGUAGAGGGAAUUACCGAUGUUCUCUCUGCCGUAGCUAACGCAUUAAGCGCCCCGCCUGGGGAGUACGGCCGCAAGGCUAAAACUCAAAAGAAUUGACGGGGGCUCGCACAAGCGGUGGAGCAUGUGGCUUAAUUCGAUGCAACGCGAAAAACCUUACCGGGGCUUGACAUGGUAGAAGUAGGAACCCGAAAGGGUAACGAACGGUAUCCAGUCCGUAGCUAUUACAGGUGUUGCAUGGCUGUCGUCAGCUCGUGUCGUGAGACGUUGGGUUAAGUCCCCUAACGAGCGAAACCCUUGUUUUUAGUUACCAGCGGGUUAUACCGGGUACUCUAGAAAGACUGCCGUCGUCAAGACGGAGGAAGGUGGGGAUGACGUCAAGUCAUCAUGGCCCUUAUGCCCCGGGCUGCACACGUGCUACAAUGGUCGGUACAAACGGAAGCGAAG
Molecule: ribosomal RNA, 680 nt
Filed under: uncultured anaerobic ammonium-oxidizing bacterium
Lineage: Bacteria
Description: bacterial SSU rRNA
Rfam family: Bacterial small subunit ribosomal RNA
Source: RNAcentral